RNAcentral lists this ribosomal RNA (1267 nucleotides) under metagenome. RNAcentral describes it as "bacterial LSU rRNA". It matches the Rfam family "Bacterial large subunit ribosomal RNA", at positions 1639 to 2925 of the family's 2925-position model. The record is from RNAcentral.
UGCAUGUACCAUAACCGACACAGGUGGGUAGGUAGAGUAUACUAAGGGGCGCGAGAUAACUCUCUCUAAGGAACUCGGCAAAAUGACUCCGUAACUUCGGGAGAAGGAGUGCCUUAUUUAUAAGGUUGCAAUAACAAGAUCCAAGCAACUGUUUAUCAAAAACACAGGUCUCCACUAAGUCGUAAGACGAUGUAUGGGGGCUGACGCCUGCCCAGUGCCAGAAGGUUAAAGAAGUUGGUUAGUGUAUGCGAAGCUGAUGACUGAAGCCCUGGUGAACGGCGGCCGUAACAAUAACGGUCCUAAGGUAGCGAAAUUCCUUGUCGGGUAAGUUCCGACCCGCACGAAAGGCGUAAUGAUUUGGAUACUGUCUCGGAGAGAGGCUCGGUGAAAUAGACUUGUCUGUGAAUAUGCGGACUACCUGCACCAGGACAGAAAGACCCUAUGAAGCUUUACUGUAACUUGAAAUUGGAAUUGGACUUUGCUUGCGCAGUAUAGGUGGGAAGCGUUGAAGAUAUUCUUGCGGGAGUAUUGGAGCUAUCAGUGAGAUACCACUCUUGUAAUGUUAGAUUUCUAACUUUGAACCAUAAUCUGGUCAAAGAACAGUUUCAGGUGGGCAGUUUGACUGGGGCGGUCGCCUCCCAAAUGGUAACGGAGGCGUACAAAGGUUUCCUCUGAACGGAUAGAAAUCGUAUCUAGAGUGUAAAGGCAUAAGGAAGCUUGACUGUGAGACCUACAAGUCGAGCAGGGACGAAAGUCGGUCUUAGUGAUCUGACGGUACUGAGUGGAAAGGCCGUCACUCAACGGAUAAAAGUUACUCUAAGGAUAACAGGCUGAUCUCCCCCAAGAGUUCACAUCGACGGGGAGGUUUGGCACCUCGAUGUCGGCUCAUCGCAUCCUGGGGCGGUAGUACGUCCCAAGGGUUGGGCUGUUCGCCCAUGAAAGCGGUACGCGAGCUGGGUUCAGAACGUCGUGAGACAGUUCGGUCCAUAUCCGGUGUAGGCGUUAGAAUAUUGAGAGGAGCCUUCUUUAGUACGAGAGGACCGAGAAGGACACACCGCUGGUGUACCAGUUAUCGUGCCAACGGUAAACGCUGGGUAGCUAUGUGUGGAGUGGAUAACCGCUGAAAGCAUCUAAGUGGGAAGCCCACCUCAAGAUGAGUAUUCUCAUCACUAUAAGUGAGUAAGGUCACGGUAAGACUAACCGUUUGAUAGGCAUUAAGUGUAAAUGUAGUAAUGCAUGUGCUGAGAUGUCCUAACAGACCGAGGAC